Molecule: long non-coding RNA, 968 nt
Organism: Nicotiana tabacum (common tobacco)
Lineage: Eukaryota; Viridiplantae; Streptophyta; Magnoliopsida; Solanales; Solanaceae
Source: RefSeq, a predicted model, not a curated record
CCUGGAAGAUAUAACCUACGCAAGGAAAAUCUUGAAGAAAAAGAGCCCUAGAAAACCUAGCAACCUUCAUUUUCUUCUUCAUGUGGACACAAUAAUGAAACCCUAGCACACUACAACAAGAACCUGACCAGCCGUCACCUUCAGCAACGGACCAGCCACGCCAAACGACCUUAAACCCAGCAGCCUUCUCCAACCUACCAAACAAAAACCAUAACCCAUCUUCUUCUUCAAUGCAGGAGACAACACAAAGACCUAACUAAGCAGCUGUCGGCUACCACCACAAAACCGCCGGAAAUCAGCAACCUAACCCCAUGUAACCUAAGCAGCGAGACCACAACCCUAAGCCAUCGAGACCUAGACACUGAACCAAACGGCGCCCCUUGAUCGAUUCCACUGCCAGAGUAUUCUCCAGCCGCCGAACCACCUGUAGCCGCCGCCUGCACUCACAGCAGCAACCAAAAAUGACCCCCUCCAUUAUAUUCUUCUUUAUCAAGUUUUGAAUUAGCUACGAUUUAUGUUCAAUACCAUCGUUGCACAAUCGCAAUCGAAGUUUGAGUUCCGAAAAAUCCGGCAAGGUUCAGUCAUUCUUUCAAUACAUCGAGGUCGUUCGAGGUUCCAGUUGCGUCGUAUUUUUGUUCGAGUCAUUGUCUGUUAUUCGAGCUUCGAAACAGAAUUGCGAAGACUUAAGCUCGUUGAUACACUGUCCAAGGUAUGGAUUCAUUUACCACAGUUUGAGCAUGACAAAUACCCCAAGACCAUUCUAGUUAAGACCAUUGCAUGCACGAGCUGCUUGAGCAAACUUUUUAUUUUUUAGUCUAUUUUAUGGUGUCUUUUAAUUAUUAUGCUUGUACAGUAGUAUCGAGUCUGUCAGUCUAAUUAAGAUUUUUGAGUCUUUUGUUAUAGUACUUCCUGUUUUGUAUUUGAAAAAAAAAGUUAUAAAUGAAAUUCAAAAAGAUUUUUGAUUCUUA